AGCAGCCGCGGUAAUUCCAGCUCCAAUAGCGUAUAUUAAAGUUGUUGCAGUUAAAAGCUCGUAGUUGAAUUUCGGGAUCAAUAUGUUGGUCGUGCCUUGGUACGUACUGGCGUCAUUGGUUUCUACCUUCUGAAGAACCUCGAUGUCAUUAAUUUGGUGUCUUGGGGAAUCAGGACUGUUACUUUGAAAAAAUUGAGUGUUUAAAGCAAGCUCACGCUUGAAUACAUUAGCAUGGAAUAAUGAAAUAGGACGUUUGAUUCUAUUUUGUUGGUUUCUAGGAUCGACGUAAUGAUUAAUAGGGAUAGUUGGGGGCAUUAGUAUUCAAUUGUCAGAGGUGAAAUUCUUGGAUUUAUUGAAGACUAACUACUGCGAAAGCAUUUGCCAAGGAUGUUUUCAUUAAUCAAGAACGAAAGUUAGGGAAUCGAAGACGAUCAGAUACCGUCGUAGUCUUAACCAUAAACUAUGCCGACUAGGGAUCGGAUGAUGUUAAUUUUUAAUGACUCAUUCGGC
RNAcentral lists this unclassified non-coding RNA (510 nucleotides) under uncultured Glomus. RNAcentral's name for it is "SSU rRNA". It matches the Rfam family "Eukaryotic small subunit ribosomal RNA", at positions 569 to 1084 of the family's 1831-position model. Lineage: Eukaryota; Fungi; Glomeromycota; Glomeromycetes; Glomerales; Glomeraceae. The record is from RNAcentral.